RNAcentral lists this ribosomal RNA (484 nucleotides) under uncultured bacterium. RNAcentral's name for it is "partial 16S ribosomal RNA". It matches the Rfam family "Bacterial small subunit ribosomal RNA", at positions 30 to 507 of the family's 1533-position model. The record is from RNAcentral.
AUUGAACGCUGGCGGCAGGCCUAACACAUGCAAGUCGAGCGGAUGAAGGGAGCUUGCUCCUGGAUUCAGCGGCGGACGGGUGAGUAAUGCCUAGGAAUCUGCCUGGUAGUGGGGGAUAACGUCCGGAAACGGGCGCUAAUACCGCAUACGUCCUGAGGGAGAAAGUGGGGGAUCUUCGGACCUCACGCUAUCAGAUGAGCCUAGGUCGGAUUAGCUAGUUGGUGGGGUAAAGGCCUACCAAGGCGGCGAUCCGUAACUGGUCUGAGAGGAUGAUCAGUCACACUGGAACUGAGACACGGUCCAGACCCCUACGGGAGGCAGCAGUGGGGAAUAUUGGACAAUGGGCGAAAGCCUGAUCCAGCCAUGCCGCGUGUGUGAAGAAGGUCUUCGGAUUGUAAAGCACUUUAAGUUGGGAGGAAGGGCAGUAAGUUAAUACCUUGCUGUUUUGACGUUACCAACAGAAUAAGCACCGGCUAACUUCGUG